RNAcentral lists this ribosomal RNA (230 nucleotides) under uncultured bacterium. RNAcentral's name for it is "partial 16S ribosomal RNA". It matches the Rfam family "Bacterial small subunit ribosomal RNA", at positions 118 to 347 of the family's 1533-position model. The record is from RNAcentral.
UGAGCAACCUGCCCUUGACUCUGGAAUAACAGCUGGAAACAGCUGCUAAUACCGGAUACGACCUCCGAUGGCAUCAUCUGGAGGUGGAAAGCUCCGACGGUCAAGGAUGGGCUCGCGGCCUAUCAGCUUGUUGGUGAGGUAACGGCUCACCAAGGCUUCGACGGGUAGCCGGCCUGAGGAGGGUGACCCGGCCACACUGGGACUGAGACACGGCCCAGACCUNACGGGAG